This 254-nucleotide ribosomal RNA is filed under the name uncultured bacterium. RNAcentral's name for it is "partial 16S ribosomal RNA". It matches the Rfam family "Bacterial small subunit ribosomal RNA", at positions 524 to 776 of the family's 1533-position model. The record is from RNAcentral.
GACAGAGGGUGCAAACGUUGUUCGGAAUUACUGGGCGUAAAGCGCGCGUAGGCGGUUUUGCAAGCCAGAGGUGAAAUGCCUGAGCUCAACUUAGGAAUUGCCUUUGGGACUGCGAGGCUUUGAGGACUGGAGAGGUGAGUGGAAUUCCCAGUGUAGAGGUGAAAUUCGUAGAUAUUGGGAAGAACACCGGUGGCGAAGGCGGCUCACUGGCCAGUUUCUGACGCUGCAGCGCGAAAGCGUGGGGAUCAAACAGG